Molecule: non-coding RNA, 29 nt
Filed under: Rattus norvegicus (Norway rat)
Lineage: Eukaryota; Metazoa; Chordata; Mammalia; Rodentia; Muridae
Source: RNAcentral
UUCCUGAUUGGUGCAAAAACCAUCACUUU